UUAGCUGAGGUGAGGCAGGUUACCCGAGGCUUAGAGGCAGGGUUUGGGUUAAGGUGGCCAGAUUGACAGGGUAAAGCCCAGACAGGGGGGCAGACAGAUGGGCAGACAGACAUAUAGACAAGGCGCUGAGGCGGACGGGGAGGCUGGCACUUUGUGGGACUCUGAAUGGGGCUCUCGUUGGCGUGCCCGCCUACUCCUUGCAGGGAGUGCAGAGCUGUGUGACUGAAUCCGAGCUCCUUCUCUGCCCUUCUCUACAGAGAGGAUAUGUGGACAUACUGCGUACAGCUAGGAGGGAAUCGAGCACAAUGAGCGGCGGAGAUUUCGGCGCUUUACCCCGGAUAGCUGCCUGACUGCGGUGUGUGUGCCAGUGGCCUCAAAGUCUCACUGGGCUCAUUAUUUAGGAAUGGCUUAAUUUUGUUGGUCAGACCUCAAAAUAUCAAGGCCGAGGAAACCUGAGAGGAGGCGAGCUGACAGACCGCACAGGCCUGAGGCCGCCGCCGCGGAGAGGAGGUGACCUGUCAGGCCUAAGUGACUUCCAGGAAGUAUUUUGACGGCUUUCUUUCAUUUGCAACAAUUAAAGUGCGAAGAAAUGAUGGCGCUUGGUUAGUUCACUCUCACGUCAGGUUAGGUUUUCUGUGAAUAUAGAAAGAAAAACAACCAGAAAAAGUAAAAGCAAAAAGUGAUAAAAAGA
Molecule: long non-coding RNA, 691 nt
Organism: Chelmon rostratus (copperband butterflyfish)
Lineage: Eukaryota; Metazoa; Chordata; Actinopteri; Chaetodontiformes; Chaetodontidae
Exons: 3
Source: RefSeq, a predicted model, not a curated record